RNAcentral lists this ribosomal RNA (479 nucleotides) under Pyrenochaeta sp. TCD04090205A 14TCDE5. RNAcentral's name for it is "eukaryotic LSU rRNA". The stretch from base 119 to 272 matches the Rfam family "5.8S ribosomal RNA". The record is from RNAcentral. Lineage: Eukaryota; Fungi; Ascomycota; Dothideomycetes; Pleosporales; Cucurbitariaceae.
CCUGUCUGACCCUUGUCUUUUGCGUACUAUUUGUUUCCUCGGUGGGCUUGCCUGCCGAUAGGACAACCAUUAAACCUUUUGUAAUUGCAAUCAGCGUCAGAAAAAACAUAAUAGUUACAACUUUCAACAACGGAUCUCUUGGUUCUGGCAUCGAUGAAGAACGCAGCGAAAUGCGAAAAGUAGUGUGAAUUGCAGAAUUCAGUGAAUCAUCGAAUCUUUGAACGCACAUUGCGCCCCUUGGUAUUCCAUGGGGCAUGCCUGUUCGAGCGUCAUUUGUACCUUCAAGCCCUGCUUGGUGUUGGGUGUUUGUCCCGCUUUGUGCGUGGACUCGCCUCAAAGCAAUUGGCAGCCGGCGUACUAGCCUGGGAGCGCAGCACAUUUUGCGCAUCUUGUCUUGAACGCUUGCGUCCAUGAAGCCUACAUUUUAACUCUUGACCUCGGAUCAGGUAGGGAUACCCGCUGAACUUAAGCAUAUCAAA